Molecule: ribosomal RNA, 402 nt
Filed under: uncultured prokaryote
Description: bacterial SSU rRNA
Rfam family: Bacterial small subunit ribosomal RNA
Source: RNAcentral
UGGGGAAUCUUGCACAAUGGGGGAAACCCUGAUGCAGCGACGCCGCGUGAGCGAUGAAGCCCUUCGGGGUGUAAAGCUCUUUCGGCAGGAACGAUAAUGACGGUACCUGCAGAAGAAGCUGAGGCUAACUACGUGCCAGCAGCCGCGGUAAUACGUAAGCAGCAAGCGUUGUUCGGAGUUACUGGGCGUAAAGAGUGCGUAGGUGGUUCUCUAAGUUCGGUGUGAAAUCUCCCGGCUCAACUGGGAGGGUGCGUCGAAAACUGGAGAGCUUGAGUAUGGGAGAGGAGGGCGGAAUUCCUGGUGUAGCGGUGAAAUGCGUAGAUAUCAGGAGGAACACCUGUGGUGAAGACGGCUCUCUGGACCAUUACUGACACUGAGGCACGAAAGCGUGGGGAGCAAACA